This 479-nucleotide ribosomal RNA is filed under the name uncultured Alteromonadales bacterium. RNAcentral's name for it is "bacterial SSU rRNA". It matches the Rfam family "Bacterial small subunit ribosomal RNA", at positions 30 to 505 of the family's 1533-position model. Lineage: Bacteria; Pseudomonadati; Pseudomonadota; Gammaproteobacteria; Alteromonadales. The record is from RNAcentral.
AUUGAACGCUGGCGGCAGGCCUAACACAUGCAAGUCGAGCGAGAAAGGCCUUCGGGCUGAGUACAGCGGCGGACGGGUGAGUAACGCGUAGGAAUCUACCUGGUAGUGGGGGACAACAUGGGGAAACUCAUGCUAAUACCGCAUACGCCCUAUGGGGGAAAGCGGGGGACCUUCGGGCCUCGCGCUAUCAGAUGAGCCUGCGUAGGAUUAGCUUGUUGGUGAGGUAAAGGCUCACCAAGGCGACGAUCCUUAGCUGGUCUGAGAGGAUGAUCAGCCACACUGGGACUGAGACACGGCCCAGACUCCUACGGGAGGCAGCAGUGGGGAAUAUUGCGCAAUGGGCGAAAGCCUGACGCAGCCAUGCCGCGUGUGUGAAGAAGGCCUUAGGGUUGUAAAGCACUUUCAAUUGGGAAGAAAGGUUGCGUGUUAAUAGCACGUAGCUGUGACGUUACCUUUAGAAGAAGCACCGGCUAACUCCG